UGACUCUUAUCUUAAGGGUCAACCUAGCCAACUGACGUUGUUGUGGAUUCUUUCACUUAACAAUGAAGCCAACCGAAACUUUUUAUCGGCUGGCUUUUUUUUU
Photobacterium iliopiscarium is the source of this 103-nucleotide non-coding RNA. The record is from Rfam. Lineage: Bacteria; Pseudomonadati; Pseudomonadota; Gammaproteobacteria; Vibrionales; Vibrionaceae.